Molecule: non-coding RNA, 258 nt
Organism: Cinara cedri
Lineage: Eukaryota; Metazoa; Arthropoda; Insecta; Hemiptera; Aphididae
Source: the annotation of a GenBank genome assembly
AGAAUUACUUUCACAACUCAUAAAAAGAUACAUCCGAUAUUGCGUGGGGCAUGCAUAUCGAAAUUACAAGGAAAAUAUUUUCUUAUAUGAAAACCGUGAGAUUAUGAGUGGCUGCGGUUUAUCGUAUUUACGAAACGAGAGUAACAUUGUGAAUAAACGAUUCUUUAAUAUAAUACGUAGGUAUACAUUAUGGUGACUGCAGACAAAUACCGAAAUCGAAUUUUCUCGAAUUCCUCGCGAUGCCUGCGUAUAGAUCAU